Non-coding RNA from Danio rerio (zebrafish), 82 nucleotides. The record is from Rfam. Lineage: Eukaryota; Metazoa; Chordata; Actinopteri; Cypriniformes; Danionidae.
GACGAGGUGGCUGAGUGGUUAAGGCGGUGGACUGCUAAUCCAUUGUGCUUUGCACACCUGGGUUCGAAUCCCAUCCUUGUCG